CAGGGAGCCUGCAGUCUGCACCUUGAGAAUGAUUUGUUUAGCCUGCUGGUUAUAACCCUGCACCAAGGCUCCAGCUCCAACUUCUGCCAGACAGAUCAAGGGUCUGUUGUACCUUGCGAGAGAACAGGAUCACCAGUCAGAGCCUUCGAGAUCUUUCAGCUGCUGAGAUUAGGCUGCAGGCAUGGUGGCACACACCUGUAAUCCCAACACUCAGAGG
Octodon degus (degu) is the source of this 217-nucleotide long non-coding RNA. RefSeq lists it as uncharacterized. The transcript is spliced from 3 exons. The record is from RefSeq and is a predicted model, not a curated record. Lineage: Eukaryota; Metazoa; Chordata; Mammalia; Rodentia; Octodontidae.